AAAAGAUAAGCUAAAAUUUAAGCUACUGGGCUCAUAUCUCAUUAAUAAAGGUUUUAAUCCUUUUCUUUUUA
RNAcentral lists this transfer RNA (71 nucleotides) under Phygasia gracilicornis. RNAcentral's name for it is "tRNA-Met". It matches the Rfam family "tRNA". From Rfam's summary of the family: Transfer RNA (tRNA) molecules are approximately 80 nucleotides in length. Their secondary structure includes four short double-helical elements and three loops (D, anti-codon, and T loops). The record is from RNAcentral. Lineage: Eukaryota; Metazoa; Arthropoda; Insecta; Coleoptera; Chrysomelidae.